RNAcentral lists this ribosomal RNA (253 nucleotides) under uncultured bacterium. RNAcentral's name for it is "partial 16S ribosomal RNA". It matches the Rfam family "Bacterial small subunit ribosomal RNA", at positions 524 to 776 of the family's 1533-position model. The record is from RNAcentral.
UACGGGGGGGGCAAGCGUUACUCGGAAUUAUUGGGCGUAAAGGGUGCGCAGGCGGUCGUGGGCGUCGGAGGUGAAAUCCCCAGGCUUAACCUGGGAACUGCCUCCGAUACGGCAUGGCUUGAGUCCGGGAGAGGGGAGCAGAAUUCCCAGUGUAGCGGUGAAAUGCGUAGAUAUUGGGAGGAAUACCAGUGGCGAAGGCGGCUCCCUGGACCGGUACUGACGCUCAGGCGCGAAAGCGUGGGGAGCAAACAGG